Long non-coding RNA from Gossypium arboreum, 334 nucleotides. RefSeq lists it as uncharacterized. The transcript has 2 exons. Lineage: Eukaryota; Viridiplantae; Streptophyta; Magnoliopsida; Malvales; Malvaceae. The record is from RefSeq and is a predicted model, not a curated record.
AUCCCCAACCAUAGUGGGCUUGGAGCUGUGAGGGAAUUCGGAGUGGCCACCCGUUCUGAAAGUUUGAUUUUCUUCUGGUGAACUGGACAUCCUUUUAAUUACGUUUGAGGUUUUGGGCUUUUAAAUGUAAUAAGGCCGCUUAUUUAUUUUUGAUGGUUUUUAUAUGUUUUAUUAAGAUAGGUAAUAUUUAUAUUUAACUGUUGAAAUUGGAUAGCUUUAGGGCGUGUUUUUAAAAACAGUAAUUGUUUUCAAAAUAACACGAAAACAAGCAAAGCUUCCGCAAUGAAGAUAUUUUCCAAAAUUAAUCACUUUUCCUAAAAAGGACUUAAUCAAA